GGUGACGAUGAUCAUAUCAUGAUGGUGACGAUGGUGAUGAUGAAAAUGUGGGCUGGAAGCAUAGCUAUAUGGGUUCUGGAUUCAACUACUAGUGCAACAAUGGACAACUGAAACUUUCAGAGCCUCAGCUUCCUUAUCUGCAAGGUAAAAAUAAUAAAGGUGCUUAUUCAUAGGACUGUGGUGAGGAGCGAAUGAGGUCCCAUAUAUAGUAUAUAUUUUUUGGUACAGGAGUCUUGCAUGUAGAAUGUGUUCAGUUAAUGUUGGCUAUUAUUUUUGUUAUAAUUAUUAGGAAGCAGGGAAAGGAUAUAGACAGAGAAGAGGAAGGUCUCCCCAAAACCUGAACUCUACUUAAAACUCAGUUUU
This 363-nucleotide long non-coding RNA is filed under the name Papio anubis (olive baboon). RNAcentral's name for it is "lncRNA (ENSPANG00000045534.1)". Lineage: Eukaryota; Metazoa; Chordata; Mammalia; Primates; Cercopithecidae. The record is from RNAcentral.